The submitters of this non-coding RNA (67 nucleotides) gave its source as unclassified sequences. The record is from Rfam.
UAUCUUUGCGCCCUGAUUAUCAUAGUGGUAAUCUGUACAUAAAAAUCAUUAAACUAAUAUUGGCAUG